AGAGUUUGAUCCUGGCUCAGAUUGAACGCUGGCGGCAGGCCUAACACAUGCAAGUCGAGCGGAUGAAGAGAGCUUGCUCUCUGAUUCAGCGGCGGACGGGUGAGUAAUGCCUAGGAAUCUGCCUGAUAGUGGGGGACAACGUUUCGAAAGGAACGCUAAUACCGCAUACGUCCUACGGGAGAAAGCAGGGGACCUUCGGGCCUUGCGCUAUCAGAUGAGCCUAGGUCGGAUUAGCUAGUUGGUGAGGUAACGGCUCACCAAGGCGACGAUCCGUAACUGGUCUGAGAGGAUGAUCAGUCACACUGGAACUGAGACACGGUCCAGACUCCUACGGGAGGCAGCAGUGGGGAAUAUUGGACAAUGGGCGAAAGCCUGAUCCAGCCAUGCCGCGUGUGUGAAGAAGGUCUUCGGAUUGUAAAGCACUUUAAGUUGGGAGGAAGGGCAUUAACCUAAUACGUUAGUGUUUUGACGUUACCGACAGAAUAAGCACCGGCUAACUUCGUGCCAGCAGCCGCGGUAAUACGAAGGGUGCAAGCGUUAAUCGGAAUUACUGGGCGUAAAGCGCGCGUAGGUGGUUUGUUAAGUUGAAUGUGAAAGCCCCGGGCUCAACCUGGGAACUGCAUCCAAAACUGGCAAGCUAGAGUAUGGCAGAGGGUGGUGGAAUUUCCUGUGUAGCGGUGAAAUGCGUAGAUAUAGGAAGGAACACCAGUGGCGAAGCGACCACCUGGGCUAAUACUGACACUGAGGUGCGAAAGCGUGGGGAGCAAACAGGAUUAGAUACCCUGGUAGUCCACGCCGUAAACGAUGUCGACUAGCGUGGGAUCAUGAAAUCUAGUGGCGCCAGCUACGC
RNAcentral lists this ribosomal RNA (850 nucleotides) under uncultured bacterium. Its description in RNAcentral is "bacterial SSU rRNA". It matches the Rfam family "Bacterial small subunit ribosomal RNA", at positions 8 to 858 of the family's 1533-position model. The record is from RNAcentral.